Molecule: ribosomal RNA, 387 nt
Filed under: uncultured bacterium
Lineage: Bacteria
Description: bacterial SSU rRNA
Rfam family: Bacterial small subunit ribosomal RNA
Source: RNAcentral
AGUCGAACGAAGUAGCAAUACUUAGUGGCAGACGGGUGAGUAACAUGUAGGUAUCUUCCCAUUGGUGAGGAAUAACACGAGGAAACUUGUGCUAAUACCUCAUAAGUCUUUACGGAGAAAGCUUUAUGCGCCGAUGGAUGAGCCUGCACUUGAUUAGUUUGUUGGUAGGGUAAUGGCCUACCAAGACAAUGAUCAAUAGCUGAUUUGAGAGGAUGAUCAGCCACAUUGGGACUGAGACACGGCCCAAACUCCUACGGGAGGCAGCAGUAGGGAAUCUUGCACAAUGGGGGAAACCCUGAUGCAGCGAUGCCGCGUGAGUGAAGAAGGCCUUUGGGUUGUAAAGCUCUUUCGUCGGGGAAGAAAAUGACUGUACCCGAAUAAGAAGGU